Molecule: ribosomal RNA, 648 nt
Filed under: uncultured Actinomycetes bacterium
Lineage: Bacteria; Bacillati; Actinomycetota; Actinomycetes
Description: bacterial SSU rRNA
Rfam family: Bacterial small subunit ribosomal RNA
Source: RNAcentral
CAGCUUGUUGGUGAGGUAACGGCUCACCAAGGCGACGACGGGUAGCCGGCCUGAGAGGGUGACCGGCCACACUGGGACUGAGACACGGCCCAGACUCCUACGGGAGGCAGCAGUGGGGAAUAUUGCACAAUGGGCGAAAGCCUGAUGCAGCGACGCCGCGUGAGGGAUGAAGGCCUUCGGGUUGUAAACCUCUUUCAGCAGGGACGAAGCGUGAGUGACUGUACCUGCAGAAAAAGCACCGGCUAACUACGUGCCAGCAGCCGCGGUAAUACGUAGGGUGCGAGCGUUGUCCGGAAUUACUGGGCGUAAAGAGUUCGUAGGCGGUUUGUCGCGUCGUUUGUGAAAACCCGGGGCUCAACUUCGGGCUUGCAGGCGAUACGGGCAGACUUGAGUGUUUCAGGGGAGACUGGAAUUCCUGGUGUAGCGGUGAAAUGCGCAGAUAUCAGGAGGAACACCGGUGGCGAAGGCGGGUCUCUGGGAAACAACUGACGCUGAGGAACGAAAGCGUGGGUAGCAAACAGGAUUAGAUACCCUGGUAGUCCACGCCGUAAACGGUGGGCGCUAGGUGUGGGUUCCUUCCACGGAAUCUGUGCCGUAGCUAACGCAUUAAGCGCCCCGCCUGGGGAGUACGGAAUCUCUAGAGGAUCC